Molecule: ribosomal RNA, 882 nt
Filed under: Triticum aestivum (bread wheat)
Lineage: Eukaryota; Viridiplantae; Streptophyta; Magnoliopsida; Poales; Poaceae
Description: partial small subunit ribosomal RNA
Source: RNAcentral
CUCGCAACGCCAAAAGUUUAGGGGGGAAUGGGUUUUCGUGACAUGGGGCUAUUCAACCUAGAACUCCUUGGGAAGCAUGGGUGGAGGUUUAUGGUUAGCCCAGAUUCAUUAUGCGUCCGGGUGCUGAAGGGUCGAUACUUUCCAGAUUCAGAUUUUUUGCACGCUACAGUGCCGAAGCCAGCUUCUCCAGUUUGGCGGGCAAUUGUGGCAGGACACUAGGCACUUCAGGCGGGUAUGCUCAUGCGUGUUGGUAAUGGAAGAUCUAUCUCCUUUUGGGAGGAUAAGUGGAUUCCAGGUACCAUUAGCAUGUCUCCUAUGUCCAUUAUUAGUCCUACUACUUUACAUACUGUCAAUGAACUCAUUGAUGAAGAAAAUUGGACAUGGAAGACGGAUCUUGUUCGACAAAAUUUUCUCGCUCCGGAUGCAGAAGCUAUCUUGAACAUACCAUUGCGUACCGGAGGUGGGGAUGAUUUCUCUGCUUGGGCUUUUGAAAACUUGGGUGUGUACACUGUCAAGUCGGCGUACCGUGCUCUCGUGAAUCAGAAAGAGCAUAAAGCUCUAGAGGAAGGUACGGCUACCGGUGCCUCAAAAUCUAAACAACAGAUGUGGACAUCUCUGUGGAAGCUCAAAGUUGUGCCUAAGGUCAGAGUUUUUUGGUGGAGAGUUCUUCGCGGGAUCCUCCCCGACGAAGCAACCCUUAAGCACAAACAUAUCAAACCUACAAGCCUAUGCAAUGUAUGCUUGGCCAAAGAGGAGGAUCUUAUGCAUGCACUGGUGACUUGCUCCCAUGCACGCAGAUUCUGGGAUGAAGCGCAAACAUGGUUCGACCUUGGACUUCCACGCCUACAUCCAGCAACAUGGGCGCGCGACAUCUUAUGUUGA